AAUUGUUCGCAAUGGGCGCAAGCCUGACGACGCAACGCCGCGUGGAGGAUGAAGAUCUUCGGGUCGUAAACUCCUGUCGAGCGGGACGAAUGCUUUGCGGCUGAAUAAUCCGCAGAGGUUACGGUACCGCUAAAGGGAGCCCCGGCUAACCCCGUGCCCGCAGCCGCGGUAAUACGUAGGGAGCAAGCGUUGUCCGGAUUUAUUGGGCGUAAAGAGCUCGUAGGCGGUUCGGUAAGUCGGGUGUGAAAACUCUAGGCUCAACCUGGAGAGGCCACCCGAUACUGCUGUGACUUGAGUCUGGUAGGGGAGCACGGAAUUCCUGGUGUAGCGGUGAAAUGCACAGAUAUCAGGAGGAACACCGGUGGCGAAGGCGGUGCUCUGGGCCAGUACUGACGCUGAGGAGCGAAAGCGUGGGUAGCGAAC
RNAcentral lists this ribosomal RNA (423 nucleotides) under uncultured bacterium. RNAcentral describes it as "bacterial SSU rRNA". It matches the Rfam family "Bacterial small subunit ribosomal RNA", at positions 360 to 773 of the family's 1533-position model. The record is from RNAcentral.